GCCGGGGCCUGCUGAGGGCUGGGCAGCGGGGGUCUGACAGGGCCUCCGCCGGCCCGGUGCGCCCCUUGCCCGCUGGCCCGCCCGCGUGUGGCUUGGUGUGGGGCUCAUGGCCGGCCCCGGGCCUGGCGGGGAGCACUGGCAGCGGCUGGGGGUGAGGUGGGCCCUGCUUGGGAUCACCCCCUCUCCCCAUCAGGGCACCCCGCUGCCCCGCGUCCCUGGGCCACCGCACUGGUAUGGCAUGGACGAGCAGAGGAGCAGAAGUUGUGGAAAAUUCAUCUGUACAAAUCCUUUGCUGUGGAAAGGGUGGUAUGGAAGGGAGAAGCAGGAGUUUUCCUGUUGGUAACUGGACACAGGAACAAUGUAUCACUGGUUUGUGAAGACAGCAUAUUGCCAUCAGGCCCAAUAAACUACCACCAUCAAACUGGAGGAUUCUUCCA
Molecule: long non-coding RNA, 437 nt
Filed under: Calidris pugnax (ruff)
Lineage: Eukaryota; Metazoa; Chordata; Aves; Charadriiformes; Scolopacidae
Description: lncRNA (ENSCPUG00000016881.1)
Source: RNAcentral